This 2921-nucleotide ribosomal RNA is filed under the name Shigella flexneri. RNAcentral describes it as "23S ribosomal RNA". It matches the Rfam family "Bacterial large subunit ribosomal RNA". The record is from RNAcentral. Lineage: Bacteria; Pseudomonadati; Pseudomonadota; Gammaproteobacteria; Enterobacterales; Enterobacteriaceae.
GGGUUGUGAGGUUAAGCGACUAAGCGUACACGGUGGAUGCCUGGCAGUCAGAGGCGAUGAAGGACGUGCUAAUCUGCGAUAAGCGUCGGUAAGGUGAUAUGAACCGUUAUAACCGGCGAUUUCCGAAUGGGGAAACCCAGUGUGAUUCGUCACACUAUCAUUAACUGAAUCCAUAGGUUAAUGAGGCGAACCGGGGGAACUGAAACAUCUAAGUACCCCGAGGAAAAGAAAUCAACCGAGAUUCCCCCAGUAGCGGCGAGCGAACGGGGAGCAGCCCAGAGCCUGAAUCAGUGUGUGUGUUAGUGGAAGCGUCUGGAAAGGCGUGCGAUACAGGGUGACAGCCCCGUACACAAAAAUGCACAUACUGUGAGCUCGAUGAGUAGGGCGGGACACGUGGUAUCCUGUCUGAAUAUGGGGGGACCAUCCUCCAAGGCUAAAUACUCCUGACUGACCGAUAGUGAACCAGUACCGUGAGGGAAAGGCGAAAAGAACCCCGGCGAGGGGAGUGAAAAAGAACCUGAAACCGUGUACGUACAAGCAGUGGGAGCACGCUUAGGCGUGUGACUGCGUACCUUUGUAUAAUGGGUCAGCGACUUAUAUUCUGUAGCAAGGUUAACCGAAUAGGGGAGCCGAAGGGAAACCGAGUCUUAACUGGGCGUUAAGUUGCAGGGUAUAGACCCGAAACCCGGUGAUCUAGCCAUGGGCAGGUUGAAGGUUGGGUAACACUAACUGGAGGACCGAACCGACUAAUGUUGAAAAAUUAGCGGAUGACUUGUGGCUGGGGGUGAAAGGCCAAUCAAACCGGGAGAUAGCUGGUUCUCCCCGAAAGCUAUUUAGGUAGCGCCUCGUGAAUUCAUCUCCGGGGGUAGAGCACUGUUUCGGCACGGGGUUCAUCCCGACUUACCAACCCGAUGCAAACUGCGAAUACCGGAGAAUGUUAUCACGGGAGACACACGGCGGGUGCUAACGUCCGUCGUGAAGAGGGAAACAACCCAGACCGCCAGCUAAGGUCCCAAAGUCAUGGUUAAGUGGGAAACGAUGUGGGAAGGCCCAGACAGCCGUGAUGUUGGCUUAGAAGCAGCCAUCAUUUAAAGAAAGCGUAAUAGCUCACUGGUCGAGUCGGCCUGCGCGGAAGAUGUAACGGGGCUAAACCAUGCACCGAAGCUGCGGCAGCGACGCUUAUGCGUUGUUGGGUAGGGGAGCGUUCUGUAAGCCUGUGAAGGUGUGCUGUGAGGUAUGCUGGAGGUAUCAGAAGUGCGAAUGCUGACAUAAGUAACGAUAAAGCGGGUGAAAAGCCCGCUCGCCGGAAGACCAAGGGUUCCUGUCCAACGUUAAUCGGGGCAGGGUGAGUCGACCCCUAAGGCGAGGCCGAAAGGCGUAGUCGAUGGGAAACAGGUUAAUAUUCCUGUACUUGGUGUUACUGCGAAGGGGGGACGGAGAAGGCUAUGUUGGCCGGGCGACGGUUGUCCCGGUUUAAGCGUGUAGGCUGGUUUUCCAGGCAAAUCCGGAAAAUCAAGGCCGAGGCGUGAUGACGAGGCACUACGGUGCUGAAGCAACAAAUGCCCUGCUUCCAGGAAAAGCCUCUAAGCAUCAGGUAACAUCAAAUCGUACCCCAAACCGACACAGGUGGUCAGGUAGAGAAUACCAAGGCGCUUGAGAGAACUCGGGUGAAGGAACUAGGCAAAAUGGUGCCGUAACUUCGGGAGAAGGCACGCUGAUACGUAGGUGAAGCGACUUGCUCGUGGAGCUGAAAUCAGUCGAAGAUACCAGCUGGCUGCAACUGUUUAUUAAAAACACAGCACUGUGCAAACACGAAAGUGGACGUAUACGGUGUGACGCCUGCCCGGUGCCGGAAGGUUAAUUGAUGGGGUUAGCGCAAGCGAAGCUCUUGAUCGAAGCCCCGGUAAACGGCGGCCGUAACUAUAACGGUCCUAAGGUAGCGAAAUUCCUUGUCGGGUAAGUUCCGACCUGCACGAAUGGCGUAAUGAUGGCAAGGCUGUCUCCACCCGAGACUCAGUGAAAUUGAACUCGCUGUGAAGAUGCAGUGUACCCGCGGCAAGACGGAAAGACCCCGUGAACCUUUACUAUAGCUUGACACUGAACAUUGAGCCUUGAUGUGUAGGAUAGGUGGGAGGCUUUGAAGUGUGGACGCCAGUCUGCAUGGAGCCGACCUUGAAAUACCACCCUUUAAUGUUUGAUGUUCUAACGUGGACCCGUGAUCCGGGUUGCGGACAGUGUCUGGUGGGUAGUUUGACUGGGGCGGUCUCCUCCUAAAGAGUAACGGAGGAGCACGAAGGUUGGCUAAUCCUGGUCGGACAUCAGGAGGUUAGUGCAAUGGCAUAAGCCAGCUUGACUGCGAGCGUGACGGCGCGAGCAGGUGCGAAAGCAGGUCAUAGUGAUCCGGUGGUUCUGAAUGGAAGGGCCAUCGCUCAACGGAUAAAAGGUACUCCGGGGAUAACAGGCUGAUACCGCCCAAGAGUUCAUAUCGACGGCGGUGUUUGGCACCUCGAUGUCGGCUCAUCACAUCCUGGGGCUGAAGUAGGUCCCAAGGGUAUGGCUGUUCGCCAUUUAAAGUGGUACGCGAGCUGGGUUUAGAACGUCGUGAGACAGUUCGGUCCCUAUCUGCCGUGGGCGCUGGAGAACUGAGGGGCUGCUCCUAGUACGAGAGGACCGGAGUGGACGCAUCACUGGUGUUCGGGUUGUCAUGCCAAUGGCACUGCCCGGUAGCUAAAUGCGGAAGAGAUAAGUGCUGAAAGCAUCUAAGCACGAAACUUGCCCCGAGAUGAGUUCUCCUGACCCUUUAAGGGUCCUGAAGGAACGUUGAAGACGACGACGUUGAUAGGCCGGGUGUGUAAGCGCAGCGAUGCGUUGAAGCUAACCGGUACUAAUGAACCGUGAGGCUUAACCUUACAACGCCGAAG